RNAcentral lists this ribosomal RNA (482 nucleotides) under uncultured bacterium. Its description in RNAcentral is "partial 16S ribosomal RNA". It matches the Rfam family "Bacterial small subunit ribosomal RNA", at positions 28 to 523 of the family's 1533-position model. The record is from RNAcentral.
GACGAACGCUGGCGGCGUGCUUAACACAUGCAAGUCGAACGAUGAAGAAGAGCUUGCUCUUCGGAUUAGUGGCGAACGGGUGAGUAACACGUGACUAACCUGCCCCUUUCUCUGGCAUAACGCUCCGAAAGGAGUGCUAAUACCGGAUACUCACAUCGAGGCACAUGCCUUGAUGUGGAAAGUUUUUCGGAAAGGGAUGGAGUCGCGGCCUAUCAGCUUGUUGGUGAGGUAACGGCUCACCCAGGCGACGACGGGUAGCCGGCCUGAGAGGGCGACCGGCCACACUGGGACUGAGACACGGCCCAGACUCCUACGGGAGGCAGCAGUGGGGAAUAUUGCACAAUGGGCGAAAGCCUGAUGCAGCGACGCCGCGUGAGGGAUGAAGGUCUUCGGAUUGUAAACCUCUUUCAGUAGGGACGAAGCGAAAGUGACGGUACCUAAAGAAGAAGCACCGGCUAACUACGUGCCAGCAGCCGCAGUAA